GUUGUUGGGUAGGGGAGCGUUCUGUAAGCCUGUGAAGGUGGCCUGUGAGGGUUGCUGGAGGUAUCAGAAGUGCGAAUGCUGACAUAAGUAACGAUAAAGCGGGUGAAAAGCCCGCUCGCCGGAAGACCAAGGGUUCCUGUCCAACGUUAAUCGGGGCAGGGUGAGUCGACCCCUAAGGCGAGGCCGAAAGGCGUAGUCGAUGGGAAACGGGUUAAUAUUCCCGUACUUGGUGUUACUGCGAAGGGGGGACGGAGAAGGCUAUGUUGGCCGGGCGACGGUUGUCCCGGUUUAAGCGUGUAGGUGUGUGUUCCAGGUAAAUCCGGUUCACUUUAACACUGAGGCGUGAUGACGAGGC
This 355-nucleotide ribosomal RNA is filed under the name Salmonella enterica subsp. enterica serovar Kentucky. RNAcentral describes it as "bacterial LSU rRNA". It matches the Rfam family "Bacterial large subunit ribosomal RNA", at positions 1220 to 1575 of the family's 2925-position model. Lineage: Bacteria; Pseudomonadati; Pseudomonadota; Gammaproteobacteria; Enterobacterales; Enterobacteriaceae. The record is from RNAcentral.